GCCAGCUUAGCUUCAAUUGGUAGAGCUCUCGACUUGUAAUCGAGCGGUUGUCGGUUCGAGUCCGACAGCUGGCUCCA
RNAcentral lists this transfer RNA (77 nucleotides) under Roseibacillus sp. RNAcentral's name for it is "tRNA-Thr". It matches the Rfam family "tRNA". Rfam says of the family: Transfer RNA (tRNA) molecules are approximately 80 nucleotides in length. Their secondary structure includes four short double-helical elements and three loops (D, anti-codon, and T loops). Lineage: Bacteria; Pseudomonadati; Verrucomicrobiota; Verrucomicrobiia; Verrucomicrobiales; Verrucomicrobiaceae. The record is from RNAcentral.